Molecule: long non-coding RNA, 277 nt
Organism: Octopus bimaculoides (California two-spot octopus)
Lineage: Eukaryota; Metazoa; Mollusca; Cephalopoda; Octopoda; Octopodidae
Source: RefSeq, a predicted model, not a curated record
CAGCAUUCUGUUUUUAAAUUAGUUUUCGCAUUUUCAGAGUCCAUUUAUUUUGAGGAGGCGUAUCCAGUUUGUGCUGCUAUUCUUAUACACAAAAGUAAAUGCAGAUUAACGUGAUAUACGAGUUUACGAAGAUGAUGUCUGCCACAUAUGAAUACCCUUUACACAGAACGCAAAUGAUUACGCCAGCAAUAUCGCUAACUGAUAGCGACCCCGAAAGAUUGAAAGACAAAGUCGACCACUGCAGUAUUCGAACGCAGAACGGCACAGUCGAAAGAAA